Long non-coding RNA from Rhineura floridana, 675 nucleotides. RefSeq lists it as uncharacterized. Lineage: Eukaryota; Metazoa; Chordata; Lepidosauria; Squamata; Rhineuridae. The transcript is spliced from 3 exons. The record is from RefSeq and is a predicted model, not a curated record.
UAAUUAUAGGCCAAUUUGGGAGGAGGGUUUGCUGGCCCAUCCCUGUCUGGUAGUUACAGCGUAACAAGACCCAAGCAAAGCAAUGACUAAAGCAGACAGCAGGGUAGCAUUAUGUGCUCACAGAGGAAUACAGAUUGAAUUGAAUUGACUAUUGAACAUAAGAAGCUGUCUUAUAUGGAGUCAGGCCGUUCAUCCGUCAGUAUCAUGCGUAAGGACUUGCAGCAGCUCAACAGGAUUUCAGAUAGGCAGCAUUCCCAGUUCUACCAGAAGAUGCCUGAGCCAGGGACCUCCUGCGUGCCAAGCAGACACUACUACUCAGCUAUAGCUCCUUCCUCUAAAUAAUAGCAUUCUGCACUGAUGAGAUACACCAGUGGGGCUGUCACUACUACUGAACACUGACACCACCGCUAACAACGAAACAAAAACCUUACUUGCAAGAUGGGAAAGGGGAGCUCUGCUUGUGGUACCUUGUGGUACAGAAUGGGGACCAGGGAUGGAUAACUCUAUCCCUUCCAGUUCUCCAAGCUUCUCAUGUUUCCAAUCUUAAAUUCAGUUCUCCAAAUUUCCACAACAAUUCACGGGUGUUGUUUUUUCUAAAUGCUCAUGAAAAUUCAUCAGCAUUUUUAGAGCAAAUUUAUCCUAAUUGAACGAACCUAUUUUGUAUGCAGCUUUGAA